Molecule: ribosomal RNA, 249 nt
Filed under: Escherichia coli
Lineage: Bacteria; Pseudomonadati; Pseudomonadota; Gammaproteobacteria; Enterobacterales; Enterobacteriaceae
Also listed under: 1 other name
Description: partial 16S ribosomal RNA
Rfam family: Bacterial small subunit ribosomal RNA
Source: RNAcentral
AAAUUGAAGAGUUUGAUCAUGGCUCAGAUUGAACGCUGGCGGCAGGCCUAACACAUGCAAGUCGAACGGUAACAGGAAGCAGCUUGCUGUUUCGCUGACGAGUGGCGGACGGGUGAGUAAUGUCUGGGAAACUGCCUGAUGGAGGGGGAUAACUACUGGAAACGGUAGCUAAUACCGCAUAACGUCGCAAGACCAAAGAGGGGGACCUUCGGGCCUCUUGCCAUCGGAUGUGCCCAGAUGGGAUUAGCU